Molecule: transfer RNA, 69 nt
Filed under: Cyrtodactylus peguensis
Lineage: Eukaryota; Metazoa; Chordata; Lepidosauria; Squamata; Gekkonidae
Description: tRNA His
Source: RNAcentral
GUAAACAUAGUUUAAGUAAAAACAUUACGCUGUGGACCUAGUAAUAAGCGCUUGCGCCCUUUGUUUACC